GGUGAACGCUGGCGGCGUGCCUAAUACAUGCAAGUCGAGCGAACAGAUGAGAAGCUUGCUUCUCUGAUGUUAGCGGCGGACGGGUGAGUAACACGUGGGUAACCUACCUAUAAGACUGGGAUAACUCCGGGAAACCGGGGCUAAUACCGGAUAAUAUUUUGAACCGCAUGGUUCAAUAGUGAAAGACGGUUUCGGCUGUCACUUAUAGAUGGACCCGCGCCGUAUUAGCUAGUUGGUAAGGUAACGGCUUACCAAGGCGACGAUACGUAGCCGAACUGAGAGGGUGAUCGGACACACUGGAACUGAGACACGGGCCAGACUCCUACGGGAGGCAGCAGUAGUGAAUCUUCCGCAAUGGGCGAAAGCCUGACGGAGCAACGCCGCGUGAGUGAUGAAGGUCUUCGGAUCGUAAAACUCUGUUGUUAGGGAAGAACAAAUUUGUUAGUAACUGAACAAGUCUUGACGGUACCUAACCAGAAAGCCACGGCUAACUACGUGCCAGCCGCCGCAGUAA
RNAcentral lists this ribosomal RNA (514 nucleotides) under uncultured bacterium. Its description in RNAcentral is "partial 16S ribosomal RNA". It matches the Rfam family "Bacterial small subunit ribosomal RNA", at positions 28 to 523 of the family's 1533-position model. The record is from RNAcentral.